This 497-nucleotide ribosomal RNA is filed under the name uncultured bacterium. RNAcentral's name for it is "partial 16S ribosomal RNA". It matches the Rfam family "Bacterial small subunit ribosomal RNA", at positions 28 to 508 of the family's 1533-position model. The record is from RNAcentral.
GAUGAACGCUGGCGGCGUGCCUAAUACAUGCAAGUCGAGCGAACAGACGAGGAGCUUGCUCCUCUGACGUUAGCGGCGGACGGGUGAGUAACACGUGGAUAACCUACCUAUAAGACUGGGAUAACUUCGGGAAACCGGAGCUAAUACCGGAUAACAUGUUGAACCGCAUGGUUUAACAGUGAAAGACGGUCUUGCUGUCACUUAUAGAUGGAUCCGCGCCGCAUUAGCUAGUUGGUAAGGUAACGGCUUACCAAGGCAACGAUGCGUAGCCGACCUGAGAGGGUGACCGGCAACAGGGGACGUGAGCCAGGGCCAGACCUCCGAGGGGGGGCGGAAGAGGGGAUUUUUGGGAAAGGGGGAAAGCCCGAACGGAGAACCGCGGCGUGGGUAAAAAGGUUGUUGGGAUCAAAAAACUUUGUAAUGGGGGAAAAAAAAAUGGGAAAGUAACUUGGCCCGUCUGGAGGGAAACUAAGAAAAAAGCCAGGCCUAAAUAGGGC